GACGUAGGGCGCGAGCGUUGUCCGGAUUUAUUGGGCGUAAAGAGCUCGUAGGCGGCUUGUCGCGUCGACCGUGAAAACUCGCAGCUCAACUGCGAGCCUGCGGUCGAUACGGGCAGGCUAGAGUUCGGUAGGGGAGACUGGAAUUCCUGGUGUAGCGGUGAAAUGCGCAGAUAUCAGGAAGAACACCCGUGGCGAAAGCGGCUCUCUGGAACGGUACUGACGCUGAGACGCGAAAGCGUGGGGAGCGAACAGG
RNAcentral lists this ribosomal RNA (253 nucleotides) under uncultured bacterium. RNAcentral describes it as "partial 16S ribosomal RNA". It matches the Rfam family "Bacterial small subunit ribosomal RNA", at positions 524 to 776 of the family's 1533-position model. The record is from RNAcentral.